GACGAACGCUGGCGGCGUGCUUAACACAUGCAAGUCGAACGGAAAGGCCCUGCUUUUGUGGGGUGCUCGAGUGGCGAACGGGUGAGUAACCCGUGAGUAACCUGCCCUUGACUUUGGGAUAACUUCAGGAGACUGGGGCUCAUACCGGAUAGGAGCUCCUGCUGCAUGGUGGGGGUUGGAAAGUUUCGGCGGUUGGGGAUGGACUCGCGGCUUAUCAGCUUGUUGGUGGGGUAGUGGCUUACCAAGGCUUUGACGGGUAGCCGGCCUGAGAGGGUGACCGGCCACAUUGGGACUGAGAUACGGCCCAGACUCCUACGGGAGGCAGCAGUGGGGAAUAUUGCACAAUGGGCGGAAGCCUGAUGCAGCAACGCCGCGUGCGGGAUGACGGCCUUCGGGUUGUAAACCGCUUUCGCCUGUGACGAAGCGUGAGUGACGGUAAUGGGUAAAGAAGCACCGGCUAACUACGUG
Molecule: ribosomal RNA, 468 nt
Filed under: uncultured bacterium
Lineage: Bacteria
Description: partial 16S ribosomal RNA
Rfam family: Bacterial small subunit ribosomal RNA
Source: RNAcentral